Molecule: long non-coding RNA, 26699 nt
Filed under: Triticum aestivum (bread wheat)
Lineage: Eukaryota; Viridiplantae; Streptophyta; Magnoliopsida; Poales; Poaceae
Description: long non-coding RNA (TAES_LNC016653)
Source: RNAcentral
CUCGUCCGGGUCCAGGUUAGUCUCUCCGACCCCGCCGCCUGCUCGUCCCCGUCAAACUAUGCAUAUCUGUAUACUUUCAGCUUGUAUACUUUGACAUGUGCAUACUUUAUUCUUAAUUGUGCAGAAACUUCUUUUGUGAUGCAACUAAUGGGGAAAUACAAAAAAACACAUAAUGCCGAUUGCUUUGAGCCUUUGAGUUAGAAGGUAUACCCAUCUCUGAUAGGCUUCCCUGUAUGUGCCCCUUCCAUACCAAACAUUAGUUCUAAUUCUAUGUCCUUAGCUGCAUCCAUUAGUUCACUUGUUUCAUUGAAGGUUAAUUCCUGGAAGCAACAUUACAAAGAAUAAUGGGUAUGCAUGAUAUAAUAUACUAACAAUUAGAUGUUGGGGAACAUAGUAAUUUCAAAAAAAAUUCCUAUGCACACGCAAGAUCAUGGUGAUGCAUAGCAACAAGAGGGGAGACUGUUGUCUACAUACCCUUGUAGACUGUAAGCGGAAGCGUUAGAAUAAUGCGGUUGAUGUAGUCGUACGUCUUCAAGGCCAGACCGAUCAAGCACCGAAAUUAUGGCACCUCCGAGUUCUAGCACAUGUUCAGCUCGAUGACGUCCCUCGAACUCCGAUCCAGCCGAGUGUCGAGGGAGAGUUCCGUCAGCACGACGGUGUGGUGAAGAUCUUGAUGUUCUACCAUCGCAGGGCUUCGCUUAAGCACCGCUACAAUAUUAUCGAGGAGGACUAUGAUGGAGGGGGGCACCGCACACGGCUAAGGAACGAUCACGAAGAUCAACUUGUGUGUUACAGGUGCCCCCUUGCCCCGUAUAUAAAGGAGCCAAGGGGGAGGGGCCGGCCGGCCAAGGAGGGCGCUCCAAGGAUGAGUCCUACUCCCACCGGGACUAGGAUCCCCCCCCCUUCCAUGUAAUAGGAGUAGGAGUCAAGGAAAGGGGGAAGAGAAGAGAAGGAAGGAGGGGGCGCAGCCCCUCCCCCUAGUCCAAUUAGGACUAGGCCUCGGGGGGCGCCCAACCUCUCCUCUCUCUUUCCCCUGAAGCCCAAUAAGGCCCAUAUACUCCCCGGCGAAUUCCCGAAACUCUUCGAUACUCCGAAAAAUACCCGAAUCACUCGGAACCUUACCGAACUCCGAAUAUAGUCGUCCAAUAUAUCGAUCUUUACGUCUCGACCAUUUCGAGACUCCUCGUCAUGUCCCCGAUCUCAUACGGGACUCCGAACUCCUUCCGUACAUCAAAACUCAUAAAUUCAUAAUAUAACUGUCAUCGAAACCUUAAGCGUGCGGACCCUACAGGUUCGAGAACUAUGUAGACAUGACCGAGACAUGUCUCUGGUUAAUAACCACUAGCGGAACCUGGAUGCUCAUAUUGGCUCCCACAUAUUCUACGAAGAUCAUUAUCGGUCAGACCGCAUAACAACAUACGUUGUUCCCUUUGUCAUCGGUAUAUUACUUGCCCGAGAUUCGAUCGGCGGUAUCCAAUACCUAGUUCAAUCUCAUUACCGGCAAGUCUCUUUACUCGUUAUGUAAUGCAUCAUUCCAUAACUAACUCAUUAGCUACAUUGCUUGCAAGGCUUAUAGUGAUGUGCAUUACCGAGAGGGCCCAGAGAUACCUCUCCGACAAUCGGAGUGACAAAUCCUAAUCUCGAAAUACGCCAACCCAACAUGUACCUUCGGAGACACAUGUAGAGCUCCUUUAUAAUUACCCAGUUAUGUUGUGACAUUUGGUAGCACAAAAAGUGUUCCUCCGGUAAACGGGAGUUGCAUAAUCUCAUAGUCAUAGGAACAUGUAAAAGUCAUGAAGAAAGCAACAACAACAUACUAAACGAUCGUGUGCUAAGCUAACGGAAUGGGUCAAGUCAAUCACAUCAUUCUCCUAAUGAUGUGAUCACGUUAAUCAAAUGACAACUCAUGUCUAUGGUUAGGAAACUUAACCAUCUUUGAUUCACGAGCUAGUCAAGUAGAAGCAUACUAGUGACACCCUGUUUGUCUAUGUAUUCACACAUGUAUUAUGUUUCCGGUUAAUAAAAUUCUAGCAUGAAUAAUAAACAUUUAUCAUCAUAUAAGGAAAUAAAUAAUAACUUUAUUAUUGCCUCUAGGGCAUAUUUCCUUCAGUCUCCCACUUGCACUAGAGUCAAUAAUCUAGUUCACAUCGCCAUGUGAUUCAAUACCAAUAUUCACAUCUAUAUAUGAUUAAUACCCAUAGUUCACAUCGUCAUGUGAUUAACACCCAAAGGGUUUACUAGUGUAACAUCCCAAAUUUUCAAUUUGGAAUGUUAUACAAAGAUCAUCAUUGCAUAUCAUAUUUUGUUGCAUCUUUGGCUCGAUCCUAGAAAUUUCACGCAACUCAAGGACCCUCGGAGAGAGUUGGGGAUUUCGUUAUUUCUCUUAUUUGAGUUUUUCUCAAAUUUUUAAAAAUAGGAUCAUUGAUUUUGUUUAUUUUAUCUUCAAUUAUUUCUACUACCAAAGAUUCAGAGAGGGAAUAAAAUGACUUUCCCAAAAUAAAGAAAUAAUGAAGAUUUAAUAAAAAAAUCAAAUAAGAUUUAUUUUGGAGUUUUUCGCCUUUUAUUUGAAUUUAGGAAAAAAUGCGCAUUUUCAAAAUUGCAUUUAGGCCCCAAAUAAAUGUUCAUCUAGUCCGGCUUGAUUUUAGAAGCCGACGAAAAUUUAUUUCGGCAUUUUUGGAGUCCGUUUAGUAUUUCUUUUUAUUUUUCUACCGAGCAUAAUGUUAAAAAAACGCGCACCGACUCUGGGCCGUACCCGAGAGGGACUCCGCUCGGGGGCGCUAUAUAAAUAGCGCCGGGACCCCGCCCCAGCCCGCCAGAUCGCCCCGCCGCCAGCCCAACCCGCCGCCCCGGCCCACCCACNNNNNNNNNNNNNNNNNNNNNNNNNNNNNNNNNNNNNNNNNNNNNNNNNNNNNNNNNNNNNNNNNNNNNNNNNNNNNNNNNNNNNNNNNNNNNNNNNNNNNNNNNNNNNNNNNNNNNNNNNNNNNNNNNNNNNNNNNNNNNNNNNNNNNNNNNNNNNNNNNNNNNNNNNNNNNNNNNNNNNNNNNNNNNNNNNNNNNNNNNNNNNNNNNNNNNNNNNNNNNNNNNNNNNNNNNNNNNNNNNNNNNNNNNNNNNNNNNNNNNNNNNNNNNNNNNNNNNNNNNNNNNNNNNNNNNNNNNNNNNNNNNNNNNNNNNNNNNNNNNNNNNNNNNCCGGAGCCUCGCCGGACUUCGUCGUCGCCGCCGCCGAGGUUCGCCGCUGCCUCGAACCGCGUGCCGCCGGUUUUCUUAAAAACCGGGCGGUUUUUAUUGCGGUUUUUAUUAGAUUCAUUUUUAUUUUAGUUUUCGGUUUUUUUCCGGUUUAGGUUAAUUAGCGGACGUUCGUCUGUUAGUUCGUUUUAACGAACGCCUUCGUCAGAUUCGUUAAAUUAACGAACGUUCGUUCGUUAAUCUGUUCGUCGUUUUUCUUUUCUCGGAUUUUUCGCAGUUAUUUUCUGAUCGCGAUUUCUGAUCCGAUUUUCGUUCCAGUAUAACUUUUCGCUCGUUUAUCAGAAUCAGGCGAUUCAAGCGCGUGGAGUUUCGUCUCGAAACCCUCUUUCCGAAUAAUCAACUUAAACAAGUUUUUGCCUCUGUAAAAUUUGACUUAGAUCCAGAUUAGUAAAACGAAGCUGUUUUCUUUCGCCGUUUGACUUUCGUUGCUUUGUUUGAUUUGGUUCUUUUUGCAACCGGAGUUCUUAAGUUGAACAUUCUGGUUGGAACUUUUAUUCGAGUUUUACCUGUGCAUUCGAGGAGUACUUAUUGUAUGCUUGUUUGUUUGUCUGCGAUAGAAUACCCGGAGUGCGCCGCCUGUUACUUCGAGUCUCUAGGUUUCGCGGAUCAUCAGCAAGGCAAGUAACACUUGAUCAUACCUUUCUACUACCCAGUUUUUAUGCAUUAGAUCUAUCCUCAAACAUUGCAUGAUUAGGAUCUAAUUAAAUUGUGGGAUGGGAAGUAGAUGAGGUAGUACCUAUUACCUGUUUUAUUAUCAAACCUUUGGGAGUUACUUCUACGUUUGCUUAUUAUGCCAUGCUAUGCUAGUAGACGUGGAUUGGGUGAGAGUAUAUCCAUGACAGAUGUGAGAUUGUUAAUUAAUGGUUUAUUUAAGGUGGCAACUUAAACACACAUCUGGGUGGAUUGAGGCACCUGUUUUCUAGCAGGACUUGCCUGUUUUUCUUUGGACCGCCACCCAGGCUCAAAGGGAUCAUGAGAUUAUUCAAACUAGAAACUUACGUGUGCAGCCACAUGCUAUUAUGGGCUCUAGCAUAGUUGACUAAUUUGUGCGAACUCUUACGGGGUGGACUAGCAGAUGUAGGGGAUGUAGGUUGGUACGGUCUACCCCUCAUGUAAGGUGCUAGUGCUUCUGAAAGACUAUGUCUCGGUCAUCCGUUUCUCAAACACCUUGUAGUGCGAGAAAACAAGCGGAGGCGAUCGAGUCAUGUGGGGAAAAGUGCGCAAACCUCUGCAGAGUGUACAAACUAAUCAUGAUUAGCCGUGUCCCCGGUUAUGGACAUCUUGAGUAUCUAGUACUUGAUUAUCAUGUGAAUCUCAUCAUGAUACUUUAAUUAAUAUUGUUGGGUUUUAAUGAGUACCUUUUAAUUGGGAUUGAGGAUGCUGUUAACCAUUCUCAAUGUUUAACAACCACCAUGAUAGUUAAAUGAAUUUAUUCCUUUGCAGUAGGGAAAAAUUGGCUUUAUGCAAAACUGUAACCAUAGAGCUUUACCACCAGCCAAAUUGCAUGUAGUAUAGCCUAUCUCCAUUGUUAUUCUCUAUGUGUUACAUUGCCAGCAUAUUCCAUGUGCUGACCCGUUUUCGGGCUGCAACGUUUCAUGUUGCAGACUUUUCAGACGACGAGUAAGGUGCUCUUAGGUCGUGGUUCUAUACUCAGUGAUGCCGUUGGAGUGGACUCGCUUAUCUUCCAAGCCUUCCGUUGUUAUCGUUUUAGAUGGCCUUAAGCCAUAUUUAUUUCAAUAAGUUCUCUUGUGAGACAUUCGAUGUAAUAAGUGUGUGAUUGCUACUCUGUUAUAAAUCCUCCAAGUACUGUGUGGUGUCAGCAUUACUGAUCCAGGGAUGACACUGAGCACAGAGACUUGACCGUCUGAGGUCGGGUCACUACAACUAGAGUCAAUAAUCUAGUUCACAUCGUUAUGUGAUUAACACCCAAAGAGUACUAAGGUAUGAUCAUGUUUUGCUCAUGAGAGAAGUUUAGUCAACGAGUCUGUCACAUUCAGAGCCGUAUGUAAUUUGCAAAUACUCUAUGUCUACAAUACUCUGCACAGAUCUACUCUAGCUAAUUGCUCCCACUUUCAAUAUGUAUCCAGAUUGUGACUUAGAGUCAGCUGGAUCAGUGUAAAAGUUUGCACCGAUGUAACUUUUACGACGAACUCUUUUAUCACCUCCAUAAUCGAGAAACAUCUCCUUAGUCCUCACUAAGGAUAUUCUUGACCGCUGCUCAGUGAUCUACUAUUAGAUCAAAAUUGUAUUCUUUUGCCAAAUUUAGAGCAAGGUAUACAAUAGGUCUGGUAUACAGCAUAGCACACUUCACAGAACCUAUGACUGAGGCAUAGGGAAUGACUUUCAUUCUUCUUUUCAAUUUUCUGCCGUGGUCGGGAUUUGAGUCUUACUCAAUUUCACACCUUUAAAACACAGACAAGAACUCUUUCUUUGACUGUUCCAUUCUGAACUAUUUCAAAAUCUUGACAAGGUAUGUACUUAUUGAAAAACUUAUCAAGCGUCUUGAUCUAUCUCAAUAGAUCUUGAUGCUCAAUAUGUAAGUAGCUUUACUGAGGUCUUUCUUUUAAAGAACUCCUUUCAAAUACUCCUUUAUGCUUUCUAGAAAAGUUCUAGAUCAUUUCUGAUCAACAAUAUGUUACUCACAUAUAUUUAUCAGAAAGGCAGUAGUGCUCCCACUCACUUUAUUGUAAAUACAGGCUUCACUGCAAGUCUCUAUAAAACUAUAUGCUUUGAUCAAAUUAUCAAAGCGUAUAUUCCAACUCUGAGAUGCUUGCACCAGUCCAUAGAUGGAUCGCUGGAGCUUGCACAUUUUGUUAGCAUCUAUAGGAUUGACAAAACCUUCUGGUUGCAUCAUAUGCAACUCUUCUUUAAUAAAUCCAUUAAGGAAUGCAGUUUUGACAUCCAUUUGCCAGAUUUCAUAAAAUGUGGCAAUUGCUAACAUGAUUCAGACAGACUUAAGCAUCGUUACGAGUGAGAAAAUCUCAUCGUAUUCAACACCCUGAACUUGUCGAAAACCUUUUGCAACAAGUCGAGCUUUGUAGAUAGUAACACUACUAUCAGUGUCCGUCUUCCUCUUGAAGAUCCAUUUAUUUAACUUGAUUUGCUGAUCAUCGAGCAAGUCAACCAAAGUCCACACUUUGUUCUCAUAUAUGGAUCCUAUCUCAGAUUUUAUGGCCUCAAGCCAUUUCGCGGAAUCUGGGCUCAUCAUCGCUUCCUCAUAGUUCGUAGGUUCAUCAUGGUCUAGUAACAUGACUUAUAGAACAGGAUUACCGUACCACUCUGAUGCAUAUCUUACUCUGGAAGACCUACGAGGUUCGGUAGCAACUUAAUCUGAAGUUUCAUGAUCAUCAUCAUUAACUUCCUCACUAAUUGGUGUAGGAAUCACUAAAACUGAUUUCUGUGAUAAACUACUUUCCAAUAAGGGAGAAGGUAAAAUUACCUCAUCAAGUUCUACUUUCCUCCCACUCACUUCUUUCGAGAGAAACUCCUUCUCUAGAAAGGAUCCAUUCUUAGCAACAAAGAUUUUGCCUUCGGAUCUGUGAUAGAAGGUGUACCCAAUAGUUUCCUUUGGGUAUUCUAUGAAGACGUACUUCUCCGAUUUGGGUUCGAGCUUAUCAGGUUGAAACUUUUUCACAUAAGCAUUGCAACCCAAAACUUUAAGAAACGACAACUUUGGUUUCUUGCCAAACCACAGUUCAUAAGGCGUCGUCUCAACGGAUUUUGAUGGUGCCCUAUUUAAACGUGAAUGCAGCUAUCUCUAAUGCAUAACCCCAAAAUGAUAUUGGUAAAUCGGUAAGAGACAUCAUUGAUCCAAUAAAGUGCGGUUACGACGUUCGGACACACCAUAACGCUAUAGUGUUCCAGAUGGUGUGAACUAUGAAACUGUUCCACAUUGUUUUUAUAUGAAGGCCAAACUCGUAACUCAAAUAUUCAUCUCCACGAUCAGAUCGUAGAAAUUUUAUUUUCUUGUUACGAUGAUUCUUCACUUCACUCUGAAUUUCUUUGAAUAUUUCAAAUGUUUCAGACUUGUGUUUAUUAAGUAGAUAUACCCAUAUCUGCUCAAAUCAUCUGUGAAGGUCAGAAAAUAACGAUACUCGCCACGAGCAUCAAUAUUCAUCGGAUCGCAUACAUCGAUAUGUAUUAUUUCCAAUAAAUCAGUAGCUCGUUCCAUUGUUCCGGAGAACGGAGUUUUAGUCAUCCUGCCUAGAAGGCACGGUUCGCAAGCAUCAAAUGAUUCAUAACCAAGUGAUUCCAAAAAUCCAUCUUUAUGGAGUUUCCUCAUGCGCUUUACACCGAUAUGACCCAAACGGCAGUGCCACAAAUAAGUUGCACUAUCAUUAUUAACUUUGCAUCUUUUGGCAUCAAUAUUAUGAAUAUGUGUAUCACUACGAUCGAGAUCCAACAAACUAUUUUCAUUUGGUGUAUGACCAUCGAAGGUUUUAUUCAUGUAAAUAGAACAAUAAUUAUUCUUUGACUUUAAAUGAAUAACCGUAUCGCAAUGAACAUGAUCAAAUCAUAUUCAUGUUCAACGCAAACGCCAAAUAACAUUUAUUUAGGUUUAACACUAAUCCCGAAAGUAUAGAGAGUGUGCGAUGAUGAUCAUAUCAAUCUUGGAACUACUUCCAACACUCAUCGCCACUUUACCCUCAACUAGUCUCUGGUUAUUCUGUAACUCCUGUUUCGAGUUACUAAUUUUUAGCAACCGAACAAGUAUCAAAUACUCAGGGGCUACUAUAAACACUAGUAAGGUACACAUCAAUAACCUGUAUAUCAAAUAUACCCUUGUUCACUUUGUCAUCCUUCUUAUCCACCAAAUAUUCAGGGAAUUUCGCUUCCAUUGACCAUUUCCUUUGCAGUGUAAGCACUCAGUUUCAGGCUUUGGUCCAGCUUUGGUAUUCUUCGCAGGAGUGACAACUUGCUUGCCAUUCUACUUGAAGUUCCCUUUUCUUUCCCUUUGCCCUUUUCUUGAAACUAGUGGUCUUGUCAAUCAUCAACACUUGAUGCUCUUUCUUGAUUUCUACCUUCAUCGAUUUCAGCAUCACGAAGAGCUCGGGAAUCGUUUUCGUCAUCCCUUGCAUUAUAGUUCAUCACGAAGUUCCAGUAACUUGGUGAUGGUGACUAGAGAACUCUGCCAAUCACUAUCUUAUUUGGAAGAUUAACUCCCACUUGAUUCAAGCGAUUGUAGUACUCAGACAAUCUAAGUACUUGCUCACUAGUUGAGCAAUUCUCCUCCAUCUUUUAGGCGAAGUAUUUGUCAAAGGUCUCAUACCUCUUGACACGGGCAUGAGUCUGAAAUACCAAUUUCAUCUCUUGAAACAUCUUAUAUGUUCCAUGACGUUUCAAAAACAUUUUUGUAGUCCCGGUUCUAAGCCAUAAAGCAUGGUGCACAAAACUAUCAAGUAGUCAUCAUAUUAAGCUAGCCAAACAUUCAUAACGUCUGCAUCUGCUCCUGCAAUAGGUCUGUCACCUAGCGGUGCAUCAAGGACAUAAUUCUUCUGUGCAGCAACGAGGAUAAUCCUCAGAUCACGGAUCGAAUCCGCAUCAUUGCUACUAACAUCUUUCAACAUAGUUUUCUCUAGGAACACAUAUAAAAGCAUAGGGAAGCAAAAACAUAGGGAAGCAACAACGCGAGCUAUUGAUCUACAACAUAAUUUGCAAAAUACUACCAGGACUAAGUUCAUGAUAAAUUAAAGUUUAAUUAAUCAUAUUACUUAAGAACUCCCACUUAGACAGACAUCUCUCUAGUCAUCUAAGUGAUCACGUGAUCCAAAUCAACUAAACCAUGUCCGAUCAUCACGUGAGAUGGAGUAGUUUUCAAUGGUGAACAUCACUAUGUUGAUCAUAUCUACUAUAUGAUUCACGUUCGACCUUUCGAUCUCCGUGUUCCGAGGCCAUAUCUGUAUAUGCUAGGCUCGUCAUGUUUAACCUGAGUAUUCCGCUUGUGCAACUGUUUUGCACCCGUUGUAUUUGAACGUAGAGCCUAUCACACCCGAUCAUCACGUGGUGUCUCAGCAUGAAGAACUUUUGCAACGGUGCAUACUCAAGCAGAACACUUCUUGAUAAUUUAGUGAGAGAUCAUCUUAAAAUGCUACCGUCAAUCAAAGCAAGAUAAGAUGCAUAAAGGAUAAACAUCACAUGCAAUCAAUAUAAGUGAUAUGAUAUGGCCAUCAUCAUCUUGUGCUUGUGAUCUCCAUCUCCGAAGCACCGUCGUGAUCACCAUCAUCACCGGCGCGACACCUUGAUCUCCAUCGUAGCAUCAUUGUCGUUACGCCAUCUAUUGCUUCUACGACUAUCGCUAUCGCUUAGUGAUAAAGUGAAGCAAUUACAGGGCGUUUGCAUUUCAUACAAUAAAGCGACAACCAUAUGGCUCCUGCCAGUUGCCGAUAACUUCGGUUACAAAACAUGAUCAUAUCAUACAAUAGAAUAUAGCAUCACGUCUUGACCAUAUCACAUCACAACAUGCCCUGCAAAAACAAGUUAGACGUCCUCUACUUUGUUGUUGCAAAUUUUACGUGGCUGCUACGGGCUGAGCAAGAACCGUUCUUACCUACGCAUCAAAACCAUAACGAUAGUUCGUCAAGUUAGUGUUGUUUUAACCUUCGCAAGGACCGGGCGUAGCCACACUCGGUUCAACUAAAGUUGGAGAAACAGACAUCCGCUAGUCACCUGUGUGCGAAGCACGACGGUAAAACCAGUCUCGCAUAAGCGUACGCGUAAUGUCGGUCCGAGCCGCUUCAUCCAACAAUACCGCUGAACCAAAGUAUGACAUGCUGGUAAGCAGUAUGACUUGUAUCGCCCACAACUCACUUGUGUUCUACUCGUGCAUAUAACAUCUACGCAUAAAACCUGGCUCUGAUACCACUGUUGGGGAAUGUAGUAAUUUCAAACAAAAUUCCUGCGCACACGCAAGAUCAUGAUGAUGCAUAGCAACGAGAGGAGAGAGUGUUAUCUACAUACCCUUGUAGACCAUAAGCGGAAGCGUUAGAACAACGCGGUUGAUGUAGUCAUACGCCUUCACGGCCCGACCGAUCAAGCACGGAAACUACGACACCUCCGAGUUCUAGCACACAUUCAGCUCGAUGACGUCCCUCGAACUCCGAUCCAACCGAGUGUCGAGGGAGAGUUCCGCCACCACGACGGCGUGGUGACGAUCUUGAUGUUCUAUCAUUGUAGGGCUUCGCCUAAGCAUUGCUACAAUAUUAUCGAGGAGGACUAUGGUGGAGGGGGGCACCACACACGGCUAAGGAACGAUCACGAAGAUCAACUUGUGUGUUACAGGUGCCCCCUUGCCCCCGUAUAUAAAGGAGCCAAGGGGAAGGGGGCGGCCGGCCAAGGAGGGCGCGCCAAGGAGGAGUCCUACUCCCACCGGGAGUAGGAUUCCCCCCUUCCAAGUAAUAGGAGUAGGAGUCAAGGAAAGGGGGAAGAGAAGAGAAGGAAGGAGGGGGCGCAGCCCCCCCCCCCCUAGUCCAAUUCGGACUAGGCCUUGGGGGGCACCUAGCCUUUCCUCUCUCUUUCCCCUAAAGCCCAAUAAGGCCCAUAUACUCCCCGGCGAAUUCCCGUAACUCUCCAGUACUCCGAAAAUACCCGAAUCACUUGGAACCUUUCCGACCUUCGAAUAUAGUCGUCCAAUAUAUCGAUCUUUACGUCUCGACCAUUUCGAGACUCCUCGUCAUGUCCCCGAUCUCAUCAUGGACUUCGAACUCCUUCGAUAAAUCAAAACUCAUAAAUUCAUAAUAUAACUAUCAUCGAAACCUUAAGCGUCCGGACCCUACGAGUUCGAGAACUAUGUAGACAUGACCGAGACAUGUCUCUGGUCAAUAACCAAUAGCGGAACCUAGAUGCUCAUAUUGGCUCCCACAUAUUCUACGAAGAUAUUUAUCGGUCAGACCGCAUAACAACAUACGUUGUUCCCUUUGUCAUCGGUAUGUUACUUGCCCGAGAUUCGAUCGUCGGUAUCCAAUACCUAGUUCAAUCUUGUUACCGGCAAGUCUCCUUACUCAUUACGUAAUGCAUCAUUCCGUAACUAACUCAUUAGCUACAUUGCUUGCAAGGCUUAUAGUGAUGUGCAUUACCGAGAGGGCCCAGAGAUACCUCUCUGACAAUCGGAGUGACAAAUCCUAAUCUCGAAAUACGCCAACCCAACAUGUACCUUCGGAGACACCUGUAGAGCUCCUUUAUAAUCACCCAGGUUGUGAAGUUUGGUAGAACACAAAGUGUUCCUCCGGUAAACGGGAGUUGCAUAAUCUCAUAGUCAUAGGAACAUGUAUAAGUCAUGAAGAAAACAACAACAACAUACCAAACGAUCGUGUGCUAAGCUAACGGAAUGGUUCAAGUCAAUGUCACAUCCCUAGUUCUGACAAUGCCUAGUGCAUGCAUUAGAGUGUUGCACCAUGUUUAAAUUUCAUUUAAAUUUGAAAUGGGGAUUGUUGAAACCCUAGCACCAAAUGAAAUUUAACUAGGUUCAAUAAAAAUAUUUUCAAUAACCCAGAAUGCCCUUUGGAAAUGUUCAUAAUUUCUGUUAAAGGUGAAAACCUCUUCCAAAAAUGAUGAACAUAAUUAUAGGCUAUUCCUGGAUUUUUGAAUUAAAUUAUAUAGUAUUUGCAUUUGGGCAUUUAAUUGCUAAUAAUAUUUUAAAUGCUCAAAUAAUCACAAACUGAAAUGUUUACUGUUGGAAAUAUUCCAAACAGUGGCCACAGUCAGUUGCAUGAUUUUUGGAAAUGCUCUGGCAUUUUUAAUAAAUCCAAACACAAUUACAGAAAAUAGAAAAUAGUAACUAAAAUAGAAAUAAAAGAGAGGAGAGAAACCUUACCUGGCCUCACCCGUGCAGCCCACCAGCCGGCCCAGCUUCCCCCCCUGGCCGGCCCAGCCCACCCGCGCCUUCCCUGUCGUCUUCCUCCUCGGACAGAAGGACGAGGGCGUGUGCCCGACGCUCGCCGGCACGUGCGCGCGCCACCUCCCCCCCCCUGCUGGCCACCUCCUGCUUCCCCGGACUCCCUCGAUGCCCCGGACGAAGCCACGCAGCUGCCCCGCACCGCUCUCACUCUCCCUCGCCCUCCUCUUCUCCCCUUGCUCUCUCUUCCUCUCACCCGAGAACCACCGCCGCCGCCGACGGGCAUCACCGUAGCCACUGGCCUCCCCUCGCCUCCCCGACCCGCUUUCGAGCUCCGCCACAACCCCCUACACCUCCUCGUUGAGCUACGGACCUCCCGGACCUGCUGCAACGCCGCCACCAUCGCCGUUUCCAUCGCCGGCCGCCGAGGAUCUUCAUCGUCAAUUCACCACCAUCGUCGCGUCCCCGAGCCGGCUAACCACCCCUACGGCACCGCUGUGAGCUCCCACGUCUCCCCUCCCUCUUUCCCCCUUCGAUUUCGCCCUGUAGCUUCGAUUCCACCGGAGCCGCGAGCUCGGCUCCGCCGGCGAUGUCGCCGCCGUCGUUGCAGGUCACCAAACUCGCGUCCGAGCACGACCUCGAGCUCGUGGAUCUCCCAGGAGCCCGCCCAGCCUCUCAGCUCGCUCGCUCGCUAAGCGUAGCCCCGUGCCCGCGCUGGCCCGAACUCCGGUCGCCGCCGCGGACCCCGUUCCGGUGAGCUCGAGCCACCUCAGCCCCUGCCGUUUGCACAAAUGGAUGCGGACGACUCCCAGCUACGCGUAGCUGCCCUCCGCCGGCCAUUUGGUCGCCGGAGGAGGAAUUCCGACCCCCUCCGCCGUCUCGGGCUUCACCGGCGACGAGCCGCCGGCGUGUUAGCCUCGGCUGACCAGGGGUUUGACCUCCCCUAGGUCCAUGACAGGUGGGCCCGGCCCCUGCUAACUUUGGUUAAGUUAAUAACUACUUUUAGUUAAGCCACUGACCCACUGACAGUAGGCCCCACCCCUGGUCAAACCCCAGUCAGCGCUGGGUUUGACCGGGAUUAACUCCUGUGACACUGACAUAUGGGGCCCACAGGUCAGAUUUGACCUGGACAACGCCGUUGACUUGCUGACGUCACUGUGAAGUCAUGCUGACGCAGUAAUUCUUUUCUGGAUUUAAAAAUAAUCAGGAAAUUCCAGAAAAUGCCUAAAACUUCAAUAAAUCAUAGAAAUUCAACCGUAACUCCAAAUUAAAUAAAUCAUAUAUGAAAAAUUAUCAGAAAAAUUCAAGGAAUCCAUCUGUACCAUUUUCAUGCAUGUUAGAACAACUUAUCACUACUGUUUAGGGCAAAUGAAGUAAAGGGCAUUUAAAUAAUCACAUAUGGAGUUUAAAUUUGAAUCUUAUAUUCAAACCAACUUCAUUUAAUCUGUUGCUAGUUGCAUUAGCUCAAAACACAUUCAUAUUGCCAUGUCAUGAGCAUGCAUCAUAUUGUGCAUUGCAUUGAUUGUGUUCCUUUCUGUGUUGCCGGUAUUUGUCCCCUCUCGAUAGACGUGAUACCGAUGAUGUGAUCGUUGACACUGAUGAAGACUCAAUGCUAUCUUCAGAAGUGCCAGGCAAGCAAAACCCCCUUGUUCAUUCCGAUACAAUCCUACUCUCUCGCUCCUGCUCUCUUUUACUGCAUUAGGACAACACCGAUUCAUCUGUUACUUGCUGCGGUAGCUGAACCCCUUUAUCCUCUGCAUGACCUGUCAUUCCACAGUAAAUAGAUGAAACCCACUAGCAUGAGUAGGAGUUGUUUGAGCCCUGUUGUGCCUACUCAUUCAUGCUUGUUUGUCAUGCCUGCUACUGCUUAGAGUUGAGUCGGGUCUGAUUCAUCGGGGAUGAAUCAGAGGUGUGUGAACAUGUCCUACGGUGUGUGAGCUAAGCGUGUGAACACGAUUUGGUAAAGGUAGCGGUGAGAGGCCAUGUAGGAGUACAUGGUGGGUUGUCUCAUUGCAGCCGUCCUCAGGAACUGAGUUCUGUGUUUGUGAUCCAUGAUUCAGCUACUACCACGCAUUGGGCCCGAAACCAAUGGACCCUCUCGGCUUCUUAAUCACCCUUGUCCUCUGUCCAGGAGUUGCAAGUAGUUUCUGGUGUUUGUAGUAUGCUGGAGGCCGUGGACAGCGCUGACCGUAGGGGUGGGCUGUGAUGCGGUAGGCACAUGGCCGGGUAAACCGGGCGCCCGUUUGGUGUCACGGAACCCUGUUCACAUCGUUUGGGGCUGUGAGCGAAACUCCGGCCGGAUCUCCUCAUGGAUGGAACCCGAAUAGGCGAUAAACCUGGACUAGAGACUUGAGUGUUUAGGCAGGCCGUGGCCGACACCCACGUUGGGCUUCCGCUUGAAGGUUGCCGAGUACAUGUCGUGUAAACGGCGGUAAGUGGUGAGAGCGUGUGUGAAGAAGUACACCCCUGCAGGGUUAAUAUGAUCUAUUCGAAUAGCCGUGUCCGCGGAAAAGGACUUCUGGGUUGCUUAUAUCAGUUCAUAGACAAGUGAAAGUGGAUACUCUAAAAUACGCAAGAUAAGCGUGAGUGCUAUGGAUGGCGUUCUCGUAGGGAGACGGGAGCGGAUCCAUAGUGGGGUAUUGGUUGGUGAAUAUGUGGACUCGUGUGCGCCACCUCAAAGAGUUACAUUGCAGUCGUAGUUUAGGAUAGCCACCGAGUCAGAGCUGGCUUGCUGCAGUUAAACCCCACCACCCCUUUGUUGAUAAUGAUGCAUAUGUAGAUAGAUCUGAUGUAAGUCUUGCUGGGUACAUUUGUACUCACGUUUGCCUAUUUUAUGUUUUGCAGAGAGACUUCAGUCUCACUAGUAUUUCCGCGUGGUCUUCGACGUUUAGCUUGUUACCUCAGCUACGAUCUUGUGCCUCGGCAGGAUUUGGUAGAUAGUCAGGCUUCUCAGCCUUUUUCAUUUAUAGAUGUCUGUACUCAGACAUGAUAGCUUCCGCUUGUGCUUGAUUUGUAUGCUCUGAAAGUUGGGUGAUGAGACCCAUGUUUGUAAUAUCUCGCUCCUCGGAGCCUAUUGAAUAGAUUACUUGAGUCCUAGAGUCAUGUUGUGAUGCCAUGUUGUAUUUGCACAUAUCGAGCAUAUUGUGUGUAUGUUAUUGAAAUGCUUGGUAUGUGUGGGAUCUGACCAUCUAGUUGUUUAUCUUUAGUAGCCUCUCUUACGGGGAAAUGUCUCCUAGUGUUUCCACCGAGCCAUGGUAGCUUGCUACUGCUCCGGAACACUUAGGCUGGCCGGCAUGUGUCCUUCUUCGUUCCUGUGUCUGUCCCUUCGGGGAAAUGUCACGCGGUGAAUACCGGAGUCCUGUUAGCCCGCUACAGCCCGGUUCACCGGAGUCCUGCUAGCCCAGUGCUACAGCCUGGAUUCACUCGCUGAUGACCGACACGUUCGAUGCUGGGUCAUGGAUGCCUGUCCCUGUAAGUCUGUGCCGCUUUGGGUUUACGACUAGCCAUGUCAGCCCGGACUCCUUAUCAUAUGGAUGCUAGCGACACUGUCAUAUACGUGUGCCAAAAGGCGCAAACGGUCCCGGGCAAAGGUAAGGCGACACCCGUGGGAAUACCGUGCGUGAGGCCGCAAAGUGAUAUGAGGUGUUACAUGCUAGAUCGAUGUGGCAUUGAGUCGGGGUCCUGACAGCGUUGGUAUCAGAGCUUGACUGCCUGUAGGAUUACCAAGCCAAACUGGUCGAAGUUGAGUCUAGAAAAUUCUUUAGUUAUAUAAGGGAAUUGAUUGUGGGAUGGAACGUAAGGCUCUUUUACUCCUUAUACCUCAUGCCCUUCUGAUCUGAGUUAUCUUAUCUUUCCUGCGGGGAUUAAGAACUAGGCUAUCUCUUCUUUCUAUUAGGAUCACGUGUUACUAAUCAGUAGACUUAUAAGAUUGUUGGAUUUAAGUCUCAGUUCAGUUCCUACUACUUCCGUAUGUUAAUUGUUGAUCUCGGAACCUUGAUAUUGUGCUUCUGAGUGGUUAUGCCACCAAUUUUGUGAAUGUCUCAAACCUUUUCUGAGCAUUUACAGCCGUUAUGCUGUCCGAGUCAUUCCAGGUUUCUAAAUAGUCUGAUGCAUUUGCAAAAUCCUCUCCCUCUGGUUUCGAUGUUCCUUUAUGCCAGCUCAAUCACACUAAUUGUUGAGUUGAGGUAUUCUAUUGCCUUGACAUUAUGUUGGAAUAAUUAUUAUGACCCUAGGUGUCUCAGGGGAUCAUCUAGUAAUUUAGCCAUGAUUUGUGUUCCCAGUGUGAUGAUUCUGGCCAUCAUUCUCGAAAGCAUUCCGUGAUGCUACUUAGUAGUAGGUAUUCUAUUCCUGGGUUCUUGAACCCGAGAUUCACUCUACUUACUUCAUGUUGAUAGUAAUUGCUAGCGCCUUUAGGAUAUUAGUAACCUUUGCGAUAGUCCUUGAAGUCCGUGGUAUCUUCUUCUUCCAGAUACCAUGAACUACUUAUGGCAGAAGUUCCUCGUUGAACUGAAAUAUCACAACAGUAUUAUUUUUGAUGAGUUCUCCAUUAUAUAUUGUGGCUCUGCCAGUUCUACCUUUCCGCAUGGGUUAUCCAGAAGAAAUAUGUUGAACUUGGUUCGACAUACUAAUCUAUGCAUCCACAACUUAGAAAAUUAUAUGUUCCUUUGAGUUGUUCUCUUUAGUUGCAUUCUGACCUUCGUCUAUCAAUUGAUAGUCAAGGGUACGCAUGCAUUCGUUUACCGAUGCCUAGUACCCUUGUGGUCCGUCAAGCCAUUCUGUCCCGAAUGACUAGGAGAAACAAACUCCAGUACCUCAUCCAUAUCUAGGAUUGGGUCAAAGUAGUUGUGUUCCGCAGAUCAAGUUACAAUCCAGCUUCUGGUCUGCUCUACCCUGAAGUAUUACCUUCUUUAUGACAGGAAUUUCAUGAGAAUUGCACCACCUUUUGUGAAUUCUUGACAUAGUGAUACUUCACGCCAUCCUUUUUUUUUCAUUCCUCGGUUCCGUGUUGUUGCAGCCGGAGUGCCGACAAGUGAAUCAUGAUGUGUGAAAUCAAUACUCCUAGCAACUCCGUUGCUUGGUAGUUAAAUGGACAAUAACGUCAUCCUUAGCGAGUUGACUAUUGAAUCAUCACCCUAAGGUUGAUUGUGCUACCUAGUCCAUUUUCCUGGUGCACUCCUUGAUUGAUGAGAUAGGAUUUGUUAAGUCCUCGCUCAUUUGAUCAUAUCAUCUUGCCCUGAAAAGCAAGAUUGUUCUCGAGCUUAGUAACAUAUCGGUGGUUCGUGAUUUCCGAAGAUCUUCUCGGAAGUAUUACCAGGUUGUCACCUGACCGCUAUGUUGAGCUCGUGAUCAAGUUGGUUUCUUGUGAACCACCUUCUCUCCAAGAAUCGGUGUUAGAUAUCCCUGAGCUAGUUGGUUAAGCUAGACAACAACUUGGAGAGUUGGAAGAUAAAAGCUUGCCUGACUUAGUUUGUCCCAAAAGGAUAUUCUUGUGUAGUGUGUAUUGAAGAAAGAUGAUAUCUUCAUCGAUUGGUCCCUGUGAUCAGUUGCUGGACCUAUUGUCUUAUCAAUCCUUUGAUUUGAGUGUGGGCUAUCGUCAAAUCAAGUCAGAACCAACGAUGUUCGUAAUGUUGUCUUCCUCGUGGUUGAUCCCUCGAGCAUACACCAUUAUAUCUUUUGGUUCUGACCAAUGCUAUCACCGUGUUCACAUGAUGGUGGAAAUCCAGUGAUAUGGAAAUUCCGAUGAGUUGCUGUUGAGCCCAUCAGUAGCAUUUUGUCUCCCCCCAUGAAUCAUGUUGAACAUCAACCUAGUGUUGGAAAUUUGUGUAAGCAUUUCUUCGUGUUUCGUUCAUGAAGUAUAUGUUUGGAUGAAAGUAGUGACUUUCCCUAAUUCAUGUGCAUAUGAUGCAAGUUGCCGCCAUGAAUUUGAGGAAGAUUGUUUUGUUUCCUUGGAAUCAUCCCAAAUCAGUCAUGCACACGUGCGAAGUAUUCUGUGGUCUGGAGACUUGCAACCUUCAUUCCAUAUGUGUCCCGAGCACACCAAGCCACUGAUUGAAUUGUUCAAGGAGAAGAAGUUCCUUCAUAAGAGCUAAUCAUAUGACUUAUGCAAGGACUUCGUUAUCCACGGUGAUGGUUCCCAACCAGAACUCGGUAGUGUUUUAUUAUAAGACUACCACGUGGUCAUGCUUGUCUGGGACAACGUGUUCACAUGUUUGUAGCAGAACCAGCUCAUGUUUUGGAGCUUGCUAUCGUAGUUCAUCUCCCGAGAAUCUCGCAACGUCAUCUCGUCGAUUUGUGUUGCAAACCUUCAUUUUCCUUCCUAGACUCGAUGAGUCUGGAAUAUCCUGACACCAACCAGAUCUGAAUCUGAGGCAGAUAUGAUGGUUGGAACAUUUCCCAAGAACUAUAAUAUUGGUCCCUCGACAACCGGUAAAGUGGAUGUCGUGGCCAACACACCCAGCCGGAAGACCUAUCAUUGUAGUAUCUUGUUAAGGAAGUUGGCCACCUCCCCAUAAGGAUUUCGUAGGGUUUACCUCCGUAACUGUUUCCUAUGGAUUCUAUUGCUCCCGAAGUCCGACCUUUACUUGAUGUUCUAGAUAUCAAACCAUAUCUAUGAAUGGGUUACCCUAGCACAUCAAGGAGAACAUUAGAAGCGGAGUGCUAAAUGUCUCUCGGUCGAUCAUCCAGAUUUUAUCUCCUUGGCCCCGCCAGGGGUGAAAUUUGAGAAGGUGUUAUCUUCCUUUGCAUCUGCAUCAUCCAUCAUCAUUCAUCAUGGUAGCAAGUUGUGUUGCCAGGAUCCUUGACACGGAUGUUGGUAAAACCUUGAUGAAUAUGGAAAUGCUCAAGUUCUUGAGAGCACGCUCAAGCGCUAGGUGUUAUCUUCGGCAUUAACUGGGGAUCCUCUCCGUUUCCUCGACAUGCUAUGAUCUCUUCAAACAGUGAAUUCACUCCCUAUUGUUGGGUUCUUCCCCAGUUACCAGAAUCAUUCCCAGCAUUUGCAUUUUGUUCCCAGCUUGCACCGCCAAUGUGCCAUUCUACCAUGGGUCUCUUCCAUUUCCGGUGAUAAGAAAACUCAUCCAUUACGUUGUCUUCAACAAGGUAAUCCACAUCAUCCAAGUCCGAGUAUGCCAUUCUACCGACCCCCUCCAAACGAUCGCUCGAGAAUUGUCUUAGGCUGGUUCAAAGAGUUUCAAUGAUCUAUGAAUCAAAAGUAAUUCUUUUUGCCACUUAAGGAAAUAUCUCUACGAGUCACCUUCCCUAAGGUGUAUCGUUAUGGUAUUAUGGCAACUCAACUCCUCGCUACGUGGACAAUCGUUUACCACCUUCUUAGGUGUGGAAUCGUUGUCUACCUAGUGAACCUUCGUCAUCCGUUUCUUUCCACCCCUCUUGAUGUGUAUCUCGUGUCUAAACCCGAGAGAUGGUUCUAUGUCUCAUUCCGGAAGUUAAUCCUGAGUUGUUCGAUCUUCGAGAAGACCGAUCCUUCCAGAGUUUUCCUUUCCUCUCCUUGUCAUGAUUAGCUGGAGUUCUCAGAGCAAGACGACAAGACAAAAUGGUGUUCAAACCAACGUUCAUUUGAAGUGCACCCUGGAUCGUGAAGAUUAUACUAGUUUGCGUUUCCCCUUCACCUUACCCUACGCUUGAAUCUCGAGACGAGAUUCUUGUUUAGUGGGGGUGAGUUGUCACAUCACUAGUUCUGACAAUGCCUAGUGCAUGCAUUAGAGUGUUGCACCAUGUUUAAAUUUCAUUUAAAUUUGAAAUGGGGAUUGUUGAAACCCUAGCACCAAAUGAAAUUUAACUAGGUUCAAUAAAAAUAUUUUCAAUAACCCAGAAUGCCCUUUGGAAAUGUUCAUAAUUUCUGUUAAAGGUGAAAACCUCUUCCAAAAAUGAUGAACAUAAUUAUAGGCUAUUCCUGGAUUUUUGAAUUAAAUUAUAUAGUAUUUGCAUUUGGGCAUUUAAUUGCUAAUAAUAUUUUAAAUGCUCAAAUAAUCACAAACUAAAAUGUUUACUGUUGGAAAUAUUCCAAACAGUGGCCACAGUCAGUUGCAUGAUUUUUGGAAAUGCUCUGGCAUUUUUAAUAAAUCCAAACACAAUUACAGAAAAUAGAAAACAGUAACUAAAAUAGAAAUAAAAGAGAGGAGAGAAACCUUACCUGGCCUCACCCGUGCAGCCCACCAGCCGGCCCAGCUUCCCCCCCUGGCUGGCCCAGCCCACCCGCGCCUUCCCUGUCGUCUUCCUCCUCGGACAGAAGGACGAGGGCGUGUGCCCGACGCUCGCCGGCACGCGCGCGCGCCACCUCCCCCCCUGCUGGCCACCUCCUGCUUCCCCGGACUCCCUCGAUGCCCCGGACGAAGCCACGCAGCUGCCCCGCACCGCUCUCACUCUCCCUCGCCCUCCUCUUCUCCCCUUGCUCUCUCUUCCUCUCACCCGAGAACCACCGCCGCCGCCGACGGGCAUCACCGUAGCCACUGGCCUCCCCUCGCCUCCCCGACCCGCUUCCGAGCUCCGCCACAACCCCCUACACCUCCUCGUUGAGCUACGGACCUCCCGGACCUGCUGCAAUGCCGCCACCAUCGCCGUUUCCAUCGCCGGCCGCCGAGGAUCUUCAUCGUCAAUUCACCACCAUCGUCGCGUCCCCGAGCCGGCUAACCACCCCUACGGCACCGCUGUGAGCUCCCACGUCUCCCCUCCCUCUUUCCCCCUUCGAUUUCGCCCUGUAGCUUCGAUUCCACCGGAGCCGCGAGCUCGGCUCCGCCGGCGAUGUCGCCGCCGUCGUUGCAGGUCACCAAACUCGCGUCCGAGCACGACCUCGAGCUCGUGGAUCUCCCAGGAGCCCGCCCAGCCUCUCAGCUCGCUCGCUCGCUAAGCGUAGCCCCGUGCCCGCGCUGGCCCGAACUCCGGUCGCCGCCGCGGACCCCGUUCCGGUGAGCUCGAGCCACCUCAGCCCCUGCCGUUUGCACAAAUGGAUGCGGACGACUCCCAGCUACGCGUAGCUGCCCUCCGCCGGCCAUUUGGUCGCCGGAGGAGGAAUUCCGACCCCCUCCGCCGUCUCGGGCUUCACCGGCGACGAGCCGCCGGCGUGUUAGCCUCGGCUGACCAGGGGUUUGACCUCCCCUAGGUCCAUGACAGGUGGGCCCGGCCCCUGCUAACUUUGGUUAAGUUAAUAACUACUUUUAGUUAAGCCACUGACCCACUGACAGUAGGCCCCACCCCUGGUCAAACCCCAGUCAGCGCUGGGUUUGACCGGGAUUAACUCCUGUGACACUGACAUAUGGGGCCCACAGGUCAGAUUUGACCUGGACAACGCCGUUGACUUGCUGACGUCACUGUGAAGUCAUGCUGACGCAGUAAUUCUUUUCUGGAUUUAAAAAUAAUCAGGAAAUUCCAGAAAAUGCCUAAAACUUCAAUAAAUCAUAGAAAUUCAACCGUAACUCCAAAUUAAAUAAAUCAUAUAUGAAAAAUUAUCAGAAAAAUUCAAGGAAUCCAUCUGUAUCAUUUUCAUGCAUGUUAGAACAACUUAUCACUACUGUUUAGGGCAAAUGAAGUAAAGGGCAUUUAAAUAAUCACAUAUGGAGUUUAAAUUUGAAUCUUAUAUUCAAACCAACUUCAUUUAAUCUGUUGCUAGUUGCAUUAGCGCAAAACACAUUCAUAUUGCCAUGUCAUGAGCAUGCAUCAUAUUGUGCAUUGCAUUGAUUGUGUUCCUUUCUGUGUUGCCGGUAUUUGUCCCCUCUCGAUAGACGUGAUACCGAUGAUGUGAUCGUUGACACUGAUGAAGACUCAAUGCUAUCUUCAGAAGUGCCAGGCAAGCAAAACCCCCUUGUUCAUUCCGAUACAAUCCUACUCUCUCGCUCCUGCUCUCUUUUACUGCAUUAGGACAACACCGAUUCAUCUGUUACUUGCUGCGGUAGCUGAACCCCUUUAUCCUCUGCAUGACCUGUCAUUCCACAGUAAAUAGAUGAAACCCACUAGCAUGAGUAGGAGUUGUUUGAGCCCUGUUGUGCCUACUCAUUCAUGCUUGUUUGUCAUGCCUGCUACUGCUUAGAGUUGAGUCGGGUCUGAUUCAUCGGGGAUGAAUCAGAGGUGUGUGAACAUGUCCUACGGUGUGUGAGCUAAGCGUGUGAACACGAUUUGGUAAAGGUAGCGGUGAGAGGCCAUGUAGGAGUACAUGGUGGGUUGUCUCAUUGCAGCCGUCCUCAGGAACUGAGUUCUGUGUUUGUGAUCCAUGAUUCAGCUACUACCACGCAUUGGGCCCGAAACCAAUGGACCCUCUCGGCUUCUUAAUCACCCUUGUCCUCUGUCCAGGAGUUGCAAGUAGUUUCUGGUGUUUGUAGUAUGCUGGAGGCCGUGGACAGCGCUGACCGUAGGGGUGGGCUGUGAUGCGGUAGGCACGUGGCCGGGUAAACCGGGCGCCCGUUUGGUGUCACGGAACCCUGUUCACAUCGUUUGGGGCUGUGAGCGAAACUCCGGCCGGAUCUCCUCAUGGAUGGAACCCGAAUAGGCGAUAAACCUGGACUAGAGACUUGAGUGUUUAGGCAGGCCGUGGACGACACCCACGUUGGGCUUCCGCUUGAAGGUUGCCGAGUACAUGUCGUGUAAACGGCGGUAAGUGGUGAGAGCGUGUGUGAAGAAGUACACCCCUGCAGGGUUAAUAUGAUCUAUUCGAAUAGCCGUGUCCGCGGAAAAGGACUUCUGGGUUGCUUAUAUCAGUUCAUAGACAAGUGAAAGUGGAUGCUCUAAAAUACGCAAGAUAAGCGUGAGUGCUAUGGAUGGUGUUCUCGUCGGGAGACGGGAGCGGAUCCAUAGUGGUGUAUUGAUAUGGGGAAUGUGUGGACUCGUGUGCGCCACCUCAAAAGAGUUACUCGCAGUCGUAGUUCAGGAUAGCCACCGAGUCAAAGCUGGCCUGCUGCAGUUAAACCCCACCAUCCCCUUUGUUGAUAAUGAUGCAUAUGUAGAUAGUUCUGAUGUAAGUCUUGCUGGGUACAUUUGUACUCACGUUUGCCUACUUUAUGUUUUUGCAGAGAGACUUCAGUCUCACUAGUAGUUCCACGUGGACUUCGACGUUUAGCUUGUUACCUCAGCUACGAUCUUGUGCCCUCGGCAGGAUCUGGUAGAUAGUCAGGCUUCUCAGCCUUUUUCAUUUAUAGAUGUCUGUACUCAUACAUGAUAGCUUCCGCUUGUGCUUUGAUUGGUAUGCUCUGAAUGUUGGGUCAUGAGACCCAUGUUUGUAAUAUCGCGCUCCUCGGAGCCUAUUGAAUAAAUUACUUGAGUCGUAGAGUCAUGUUGUGAUGCCAUGUUGUAUUUGCACAUAUCGAGCAUAUUGUGUGUAUGUUAUUGAAAUGCUUGGUAUGUGUGGGAUCUGACCAUCUAGUUGUUUAUCUUUAGUAGCCUCUCUUACGGGGAAAUGUCUCCUAGUGUUUCCACCGAGCCAUGGUAGCUUGCUACUGCUCCGGAACACUUAGGCUGGCCGGCAUGUGUCCUUCUUCGUUCCUGUGUCUGUCCCUUCAGGGAAAUGUCACGCGGUGAAUACCGGAGUCCUGUUAGCCCGCUACAGCCCGGUUCACCGGAGUCCUGCUAGCCCAGUGCUACAGCCUGGAUUCACUCGCUGAUGACCGACACGUUCGAUGUUGGGUCAUGGAUGCCUGUCCCUGUAAGUCUGUGCCGCUUUGGGUUUACGACUAGCCAUGUCAGCCCGGACUCCUUAUCAUAUGGAUGCUAGCGACACUGUCAUAUACGUGUGCCAAAAGGCGCAAACGGUCCCGGGCAAAGGUAAGGCGACACCCGUGGGAAUACCGUGCGUGAGGCCGCAAAGUGAUAUGAGGUGUUACAUGCUAGAUCGAUGUGGCAUUGAGUCGGGGUCCUGACAGUCAAUCACAUCAUUCUCCUAAUGAUGUGAUCCCAUUAAUCAAAUGACAACUCAUGUCUAUGGUUAGGAAACUUAACCAUCUUUGAUUCACGAGCUAGUCAAGUAGAGGCAUACUAGUGACACUAUGUUUGUCUAUGUAUUCACACAUGUAUUAUGUUUCCGGUUAAUACAAUUCUAGCAUGAAUAAUAAACAUUUAUCAUGAUAUAAGGAAAUAAAUAAUAACUUUAUUAUUGCCUCUAGGGCAUAUUUCCUUCAUUAGAAUUAUUUGGGACAUAGUUGGAAAAGAAAAGAUGCCUCUGUCACUUCGAAGUCUUCGGAAUCACUGGAAUGCGUGCUCUGCUUUUUCUCCACUUCUUUGUCGGCUGUUCCAUUUGAUUCUCUCAGCGUGUCCCCUAGAGUGUCUGCCCCUUCGGUGCCAAAUGUUUGUGCUAAUUCCUCAUCCAGAGCUGACUGCAUUUGUUCAAGGUUAAUUCCUGAGAGCAAGGUUACAAAGAAAAAUCAGUAUGCAGGGUUUAAUAUAAUUAGAAUUUGAACUAUUUGGGACAUAUAGUUGGAAAAGAAAAUAUGCCUCUGUCACCUCAGAAUCUGUGGACCGUGUGCUCUUCUUUUUCUCCACUUCAUCUUUGUCGGCUAUUCCAUUUAAUUCUGCAAGCUUGUCCCCUACAGUUUCUGCCCCUUCGGUGUCAAAUGUUUGUGCUAAUUCAUUGUCUUGAGUUGGCUGCAUUUCUUCACUUGUUUCCUUGACGGUUAAUCCCUGAGAGCAACAUUACAAGGAAUAAUCCCUAUGUAGUAUUAUAAUAUAACGAGAAUUAGAACUAUUUGGGCUAGUUGAAAUAGAAGCAUGCCUUUGCCACUUCGCAAUCUGUAGCUGGUUUGCUCUUAUUUUUCUCUACUUCAUCUCUGUCGUCUAUUCCAUUUGAUUCUUCCUCGCUGCAUACCUGAAACACACAUAAUAUAAUAUUACCUGGUACUUAUUGGUUCUUCAUCGCUUAGUAACUAAAACACACGAUAAUAUAAUAUUCUCCAGUACUUAUAAAAGAGCAAAUAUUAUGAAGACGAAUAAAGAAUCGUAGGUAUGAUAUUAUUAUACUAUAGAUUACAUAUUGUUUUAUCCCUCCUGCAUAAGAAUAAUAAUAAUGGCAUGUGAAAUUAAAAACCGCCUUUGUCAGCUUGGGGUUUGUAUGCUUGUGUUAGGGUAUCACCUCAUCAAUCUGCAUAUUUUCUGUAUCUUCCAUGAUGCCUUGUUCUUCCAUUGCCUUUGUUGACUUGGUGUUCAUAUCCUCAUCUUUGGUUAUCAUGCAUUCAAUCUGCAUAUUUUGUGUAUGCUCGUCCUUCGCUCCUUUGUUGAUGUUUUCCUAAAAAUCAAAGCAUAUAUUAUUAUCACGCGGUACACAUUCAGCCCCUAUGUUUUGUUAGCUUGAAAAUCGGUCUUAUAUGUUGGGACGUAGGGAGUACAUCACAACUGUAUGCACAUAUUUGCUUAUGUUUACUUAACAUAGUGGUAUCAGGAUAUCCUUUCCAACUAAAUUUCACUAUCUAUUUCUUUUUUUAAUUGUUCAGUCAAGUUUUCGAGACUAACUUGCGUGACUAUUCUCUCUAGUAAUCAGGUGGAAAGGACGGCAGCAAUAUGCUUAUUUUGCUCGCAGGCUUGUCAUUGUCGCUUUAAUAUUUCCUCUCUAUUUUUUGCAUACCGCUCCCUUUCCAUCCAAUUCUUAAUCUCAUCACGGCCUGACUAGAUGAAGCAUAGAUCAUUAUAUAGCAAUAUAACUGGGCCAUGUAGGAUGAAGUUCAUGUUCAUUACCUUGUGAUACAGCCAGCUGUGUUUGUGCCCCACUACUCUUGGCAGAGGCAAUUUUCUUCUGUUUAUAGGCCUCACGUCGUCUCUUAUUAAUCUCAUCCUUGUUUUGUGCAUACCGCUCUCUAUCCCUCUGCCUUUUUACUUCUUUAGGGUCUGCAAUCAAUGGCACAAUUCAGCAGUUGAGCUACAAAAACUGAAAUUGAGUGCUUGUGUAAUGCUCAUCACCCAAGGACUGGGUGUUGCUUAUAUCCUGGAAUGGGGUGCGCGUCCCAUUGGGAUUGGUCGGGGCCAUACGAAGUCCUUCAACCCUAUGAAUGUCAAGAAUGUAUCACACAAUUGUAACAGAAGGAAUAGUAUUAGCACAACGCAGACAGAGUACAGUUUUAUGUUCAACUCCGUCCCACUGUUUAACAUCAAAGCUUUCUUAUGGUGCCUCUACAACCAAUUAAAUUCAUUUUGUACUAUUCAUGUAGGUAUAUCUCAGGGUGACUUUAUUUGUGUUCAUAUGAAUUGGAACUAAGCAUUGAACGAUCCAUAUGCAGCUUCAUGAGGCAUUUAGGUGAAGUCAGUACAAUGCUCAUUUGCCAAGGACUCAUGGAACGAUGUCAGGUUUAGGUGAGGUACGCGCAUCAGGAAUCAUGUUAGCAUGUGGUCAUGCCAUAAGUCACCAGUUCCUACAUUUUCCUUCUAUAAUUGCUCUUGUUUUUCAUAAAUUCAAUCAAAGCAAUUGAUGGAUCACAUGAACAGGUUGACAAAUGAGCAUGCAUCUGCGGAGCAGAGGGGUCUUCUAGCCUAACAAAGUCUUGGUGGCAGCGGUGUGUAAAAGACUUACGAACUUCAGAUCAGAGAAGACCAUGCACCUGUGCCGGCGAAGAGCUCGUCGUCGCCGCCACGGCAGGGCGCCUGGGCGGCUGCACCCGUGUUGGGGAAGAGCUCGUCGUCGGGUGCCUUGGCGGCUGCGCAGGGCA